GCGCCCGUAGCUCAGCUGGAUAGAGUACCUGGCUACGAACCAGGGGGUCGGAGGUUCGAAUCCUUCCGGGCGCGCCA
Molecule: transfer RNA, 77 nt
Filed under: Novosphingobium sp.
Lineage: Bacteria; Pseudomonadati; Pseudomonadota; Alphaproteobacteria; Sphingomonadales; Sphingomonadaceae
Also listed under: 16 other names
Description: tRNA-Arg
Rfam family: tRNA
About the family: Transfer RNA (tRNA) molecules are approximately 80 nucleotides in length. Their secondary structure includes four short double-helical elements and three loops (D, anti-codon, and T loops). Further hydrogen bonds mediate the characteristic L-shaped molecular structure. tRNAs have two regions of fundamental functional importance: the anti-codon, which is responsible for specific mRNA codon recognition, and the 3' end, to which the tRNAs corresponding amino acid is attached (by aminoacyl-tRNA synthetases). tRNAs cope with the degeneracy of the genetic code in two manners: having more than one tRNA (with a specific anti-codon) for a particular amino acid; and 'wobble' base-pairing, i.e. permitting non-standard base-pairing at the 3rd anti-codon position.
Source: RNAcentral